Non-coding RNA from Immersiella caudata, 89 nucleotides. NCBI's taxonomy places the organism in Eukaryota, Fungi, Ascomycota, Sordariomycetes, Sordariales, Lasiosphaeriaceae. The record is from the annotation of a GenBank genome assembly.
UCCCCUAUAGUGUAGUGGUUAGCAUAUCAGAUUUUCAGUCGUCAACGAUAGGCUCUCUGAAGACCCGGGAUCAAACCCCGGUGGGGGAA